This 477-nucleotide ribosomal RNA is filed under the name uncultured bacterium. RNAcentral's name for it is "partial 16S ribosomal RNA". It matches the Rfam family "Bacterial small subunit ribosomal RNA", at positions 29 to 507 of the family's 1533-position model. The record is from RNAcentral.
ACGAACGCUGGCGGCGUGCUUAACCCAUGCCAGUCGAACGUGAUUUUUGUGGAAAUUCUUUCGGGAAUGGAAAUGAAAUGAAAGUGGCGAACGGGUGAGUAACACGUGAGCAACCUACCUUACACAGGGGGAUAGCCGUUGGAAACGACGAUUAAUACCGCAUGAGACCACAGAAUCGCAUGAUAUAGGGGUCAAAGAUUUAUCGGUGUAAGAAGGGCUCGCGUCUGAUUAGCUAGUUGGAAGGGUAAAGGCCUACCAAGGCGACGAUCAGUAGCCGGUCUGAGAGGAUGAACGGCCACAUUGGAACUGAGACACGGUCCAAACUCCUACGGGAGGCAGCAGUGGGGAAUAUUGCACAAUGGGGGGAACCCUGAUGCAGCGACGCCGCGUGAGCGAAGAAGGUUUUCGAAUCGUAAAGCUCUGUCCUAUGAGAAGAUAAUGACGGUAUCAUAGGAGGAAGCCCCGGCUAAAUACGUG